RNAcentral lists this ribosomal RNA (253 nucleotides) under uncultured bacterium. RNAcentral describes it as "partial 16S ribosomal RNA". It matches the Rfam family "Bacterial small subunit ribosomal RNA", at positions 524 to 776 of the family's 1533-position model. The record is from RNAcentral.
AACGUAGGAGGCGAGCGUUAUCCGGAUUUACUGGGUGUAAAGCGCAUGCAGGCGGUUCGUUAAGUUGGGUGUGAAAGCUCCUGGCUCAACUGGGAGAGGUCGCUCAAAACUAGCGGACUAGAGCGUGGUAGAGGAAGGCGGAAUUCCGGGUGUAGUGGUGAAAUGCGUAGAUAUCCGGAGGAACACCAGUGGCGAAAGCGGCCUUCUGGGCCACGACUGACGCUCAGAUGCGAAAGCUAGGGGAGCAAACGGG